GACGAACGCUGGCUGCGUGCUUAACACAUGCAAGUCGAACGGAAAGGCCCUGCUUUUGUGGGGUGCUCGAGUGGCGAACGGGUGCGUAACACGUGAGUAACCUGCCCUUGACUUUGGGAUAACUUCAGGAAACUGGGGCUAAUACCGGAUAGUAGCUCCUGCUGCAUGGUGGGGGUUGGAAAGUUUCGGCGGUUGGGGAUGGACUCGCGGCUUAUCAGCUUGAUGGUGGGGUAGUGGCUUACCAAGGCUUUGACGGGUAGCCGGCCUGAGAGGGUGACCGGCCACAUUGGGACUGAGAUACGGCCCAGACUCCUACGGGAGGCAGCAGUGGGGAAUAUUGCACAAUGGGCGGAAGCCUGAUGCAGCAACGCCGCGUGCGGGAUGACGGCCUUCGGGUUGUAAACCGCUUUCGCCUGUGACGAAGCGUGAGUGACGGUAAUGGGUAAAGAAGCACCGGCUAACUACGUG
Molecule: ribosomal RNA, 468 nt
Filed under: uncultured bacterium
Lineage: Bacteria
Description: partial 16S ribosomal RNA
Rfam family: Bacterial small subunit ribosomal RNA
Source: RNAcentral